RNAcentral lists this ribosomal RNA (414 nucleotides) under Noblella sp. GF-San_Martin-Phy1. Its description in RNAcentral is "Nobella sp. GF-San_Martin-Phy1 partial 12S ribosomal RNA". It matches the Rfam family "Bacterial small subunit ribosomal RNA", at positions 768 to 1396 of the family's 1533-position model. The record is from RNAcentral. Lineage: Eukaryota; Metazoa; Chordata; Amphibia; Anura; Craugastoridae.
UAAACUGGGAUUAGAUACCCCACUAUGCUUAACCGUAAACUUUUACUUACCCCCACCCCCGCCAGGGAACUACGAGCAAAGCUUAAAACCCAAAGGACUUGACGGUGCCCCACAUCCCCCUAGAGGAGCCUGUCCCAUAACCGAUGAUCCCCGCUAAACCUUACCAUUUUUAGUCUAUCAACCUGUAUACUUCCGUCCCCGGUCCACCACGUGAGUGAUGCCAAGUGGGCCUAAUGUCCCCAACAAUACGUCAGGUCAAAGUGCAGUUUAUAAAAUGGAGGAAGAUGGGCUACACUCUCUGAGUCAGAGAACACGAAAAGCAUAAUGAAACCCAUGAUUGAAGGCGGAUUUAGUWAGAAAAAGAGACUAGAGAGUGUCUUCUUAAUUGGCACUGAGGCGUGUACACACCGCCCG